GCGGUAGUAGAUCAGUGGUAGAGCCCCCGCUUCGCGUGCGGGGAGACCCGGGUUCGAUUCCCGGCGGCCACC
Molecule: transfer RNA, 72 nt
Filed under: Toxocara canis (dog roundworm)
Lineage: Eukaryota; Metazoa; Nematoda; Chromadorea; Rhabditida; Toxocaridae
Rfam family: tRNA
About the family: Transfer RNA (tRNA) molecules are approximately 80 nucleotides in length.
Source: Rfam by way of RNAcentral